RNAcentral lists this long non-coding RNA (230 nucleotides) under Lathyrus oleraceus (garden pea). Its description in RNAcentral is "Pisum sativum (pea) long non-coding RNA (PSAT_LNC009542)". Lineage: Eukaryota; Viridiplantae; Streptophyta; Magnoliopsida; Fabales; Fabaceae. The record is from RNAcentral.
UAAAAAAAAACAAAAAUACACAAAGAAAUUUCAAACCUCCCUUGGGUUGCCUCCCAAGCAGCGCUUCGUUUAACGUCGCAUGGCUCGACGGGACACCUCAUACUCAGAUGAGUUUAACAGUUUCAAUUGGUCCCCCUUCACCGGGAUCAUAUGGUUUCAACCUCUGACCAUUAACCUUGAAGGUGUCGCCAUUCUUCUCAUUUAAAACACCAAUACCACUUUUAUGUUUC